AGGGAAUUGGUUACAUAGGUGGUGGAAGAGCUGAAAAGCCAAAUAGGGGAUUGUGAGGCAACACGAAAUUAGCAACAUUAGGAAGCUGCUACUAACCCUCGACUGAAAGGCAAUGGGAAUCAGGAGUGUUAUCAGAGCACAGUAGCUGAGGUCCCCUGGCAGGAGCUAGGAGGAAAGAGUUUUCCAGUGGAGCUGGAGCUGUGAAGACAGAGUUGCUGCCCUGCAGCAAAGAGAGAGUUGGGGAGAAGUAUCCUGGCUUCUCCCUUUCUCCUACCCUCCAGUCUUGUCCCUGUGCCUCCCAUUGGCUGAACCAAGCCAGAAGCCAGUUGACUGAAGAGAUCGGCCUGCAGGGGUUUACUCAGGAAUUUAGUGACUAGAACACUGUAUGUGGGAAAGUUGCUAUCUGUGGCCAUGCAAAGAGCUUCAUAGUGUUUUUCAUCGUUUAUUUUAACAUUCAUAACUGGCAAAGUGAUUUCAUUGAUUGUCUUCAUACCUGAUUUUCCUGAGGCUGCCAAAAAUAUACAUAGUUGUAUAUUUUUUUGGUUGUGGGUCCUUCCAGUUGUGGCAUGUGGGAUGCUGCCUCAGCAUGGCCUGAUGAGCGGUGCCAUGUCUGCGCCCAGGAUCCGAACCGGCGAAACCCUGGGCCGCUGAAGUGGAGCUCGCAAACUUAACCACUUGGCCAGGGGGCCGGCCCCUAUGAUAACGUUUAUU
This 711-nucleotide long non-coding RNA is filed under the name Equus caballus (horse). RNAcentral describes it as "lncRNA (ENSECAG00000045112.1)". The record is from RNAcentral. Lineage: Eukaryota; Metazoa; Chordata; Mammalia; Perissodactyla; Equidae.